UGGUAUUGUGCGUGUAUGUGCAAAAUAUUUAAAUUUCAAAGAAUUUUUCAUUUGGCAAAAAAAUUUUUUUGUAAUUAUUGUGUAAUUUUCAAAAUUUUUGCUUCGGAGUCUGAGUUGGAGUCGAAGUCAUAUUCUGAAAAUUUCAACUACUGGACUCGGAGUAGGAGUUGGUACUGGUAAAAUUUUACAUAAGCAAUCUCAAAGAGUAGUGUUUUUGGUGUUAUACCUGCCUAUUGCUGUAGUAAGUACACCAAACUUCAGAAAGUUCAUUUGCUAGUUGGUGAAACUUUAACUACAAAUUACGUUUCUUAAUUACAAAUUUCAUGUUCCCAAUUAUAUCUUAAAAAGGUAUUUAUUACUUACUGGAUAAAGUGGAAAGUAUAAACACAAGAACUGUACUGCAAUAUGUAAAAGGUUUGAUAAAUUGCGAACCCAUGAACAAUAAUGUUGAGAGCAGCGUCAAUAUAGAUGCCGUAACAGAUAAAACAAAUACUGAUUGCUGCCAAUCUAAAAAAAAAAAUUUUUUUUUAAACAAUAAAUAAAAAUACUUUGACACUAAACGUUUACGAGGAAUAAUAUUUUUAUUACUAAAUACCAACUUGGAAGAAAGCUGUCUUUGUAAUCUAUGUGUAAUGAAAAUAAGUUACACUCGGGCUCCAACCCUUCUUUAUGACCUUUAAUGGACUCUCCAGGUGUACAAUAAAGCAACAAUCCGUGCUCUUCGAAUUUAUUGUUUAUCAACUUUUUGUGUAUCCAAUUUUUUCCUAAAAUAAACUUAAAAAAUUUAUUCGAAAA
Hydra vulgaris (swiftwater hydra) is the source of this 795-nucleotide long non-coding RNA. RefSeq lists it as uncharacterized. Lineage: Eukaryota; Metazoa; Cnidaria; Hydrozoa; Anthoathecata; Hydridae. The record is from RefSeq and is a predicted model, not a curated record.